RNAcentral lists this ribosomal RNA (705 nucleotides) under Triticum aestivum (bread wheat). Its description in RNAcentral is "partial small subunit ribosomal RNA". Lineage: Eukaryota; Viridiplantae; Streptophyta; Magnoliopsida; Poales; Poaceae. The record is from RNAcentral.
AUGUCAGAUGACUAUCGUCGAACACGCACGUCCCUGAACGAGGUGGAGCAGUUGGUGUUGCUUGACAUUAGGGGUAUGUUGCAGUCCAUGGGUAAAGACAUUGUUGAUUUCGCUCUUCCAAGCAUCGAUGAUGCGUUUGACCCAACCGAGGGCGAGUGUCGAGAGGUCAUAGAGAAAUCAACCGUUGAGUUUGACAUGGAUGACACUAAAUUGGCAUCUUCCCUGAACUUGGAACAAAGGGCCGCAUACGAUGAGAUAUUGGCAGUUAUUGAACGCGGUGUUGGGGGUGUAUUCUUUGUUGACGGCCCUGGAGGUACAGGGAAGACCUUCCUAUACAGGGCGAUGCUUGCGAAGGUGAGGAGUGAGGGCAAGAUUGGUAUCGCUACCGCGACGUCAGGCGUCGCCGCUUCUAUCAUGCCUGGCGGCAGGACUACCCACACGAGGUUCAAGAUACCAUUGAGUUGCGAUGAUGGAGCCUCGUGUAGCUUCACCAAACAGAGUGGGACUGCCAAGAUGCUUAGGAUGGCCUCAUUGAUAAUAUGGGAUGAGGCCAGCAUGACGAAGCGACAAGCGGUCGAGGCAUUGGACAAUAGCAUGCGUGACAUCAUGGGAAUACGCGACCGACCCUUUGAAGGAAAGACUAUUGUUUUUGGCGGGGACUUUAGGCAGGUGCUUCCGGUUGUCAGAAGGGGGUCGUGGGGCUAG